GCACUAGAGCCAAUCGCUCUUGUACUUCAUCCCCAAUUUCCACUUGUUCUUGUCAAACUCAUUUGUGCCAAGCGCUUUAGUGAAUGGGUCUGUAGCAUUUUCCUUUCCAUCAACCUUGAAUCUCGACGUCUCCAUGUUCAAUGAUUUCUCUUGUCAAGUGAUACCUUCGCAGAACGUGUUUGGACUUUUGGUGUGAUCUUGGUUCUUUUGCUUGAGCAAUGGCUCCAGUAUU
This 232-nucleotide long non-coding RNA is filed under the name Nicotiana benthamiana. RNAcentral's name for it is "long non-coding RNA (NBEN_LNC006118)". Lineage: Eukaryota; Viridiplantae; Streptophyta; Magnoliopsida; Solanales; Solanaceae. The record is from RNAcentral.